UGGAAUGAUGAUUUCAUAGACUAGAGUCUCUGAAAAGCAUGAAGUUACUUUCACAGUGCUCUGACCA
Amphilophus citrinellus (Midas cichlid) is the source of this 67-nucleotide small nucleolar RNA. The record is from Ensembl. NCBI's taxonomy places the organism in Eukaryota, Metazoa, Chordata, Actinopteri, Cichliformes, Cichlidae.